GUCUGAUUCUAGAACCUUGGCGGGCGUGGAAGUGUAUGUGUAUGAGAUAGGACUGUAGUAGGAGGGUCGUUGUGGUGGGCCCCUCUGUGUGAGAUAGGACUGUAGUAGGAGGGUCGUUGUGGUGGGCCCCUCUGUGUGAGAUAGGACUGUAAUAGGAGGGUCGUUGUGGUGGGCCCCUCUGUGUGAGAUAGGACUGUAGUAGCAGGGUCGUUGUGGUGGGCCCCUCUGUGUGAGAUAGGACUGUAGUAGCAGGGUCGUUGUGGUGGGCCCCUCUGUGUGAGAUAGGACUGUAGUCGGAGGGUCGUUGUGGUGGGCCCCUCUGUGUGAGAUAGGAGGGUCGUUGUGGUGGGCCCCUCUGUGUGAGACAGGACUGUAGUAGCAGGGUCUUUGUGGUGGGCCCCUCUGUGUGAGAUAGGAGGGUUUUUGUGGUUGGCCCCUCUGUGUGAGAUAGGAGGGUUGUUGUGGUGGGCCCCUCUGUGUGAGAUAGGAGGGUUGUUGUGGUUGGCCCCUCUGUGUGAGAUAGGAGGGUUGUUGUGGUUGGCCCCUCUG
This is a long non-coding RNA of Oncorhynchus tshawytscha (Chinook salmon), 549 nucleotides long. The record is from Ensembl. Lineage: Eukaryota; Metazoa; Chordata; Actinopteri; Salmoniformes; Salmonidae.